RNAcentral lists this ribosomal RNA (2895 nucleotides) under Escherichia coli. RNAcentral's name for it is "bacterial LSU rRNA". It matches the Rfam family "Bacterial large subunit ribosomal RNA". The record is from RNAcentral. Lineage: Bacteria; Pseudomonadati; Pseudomonadota; Gammaproteobacteria; Enterobacterales; Enterobacteriaceae.
ACUAAGCGUACACGGUGGAUGCCCUGGCAGUCAGAGGCGAUGAAGGACGUGCUAAUCUGCGAUAAGCGUCGGUAAGGUGAUAUGAACCGUUAUAACCGGCGAUUUCCGAAUGGGGAAACCCAGUGUGAUUCGUCACACUAUCAUUAACUGAAUCCAUAGGUUAAUGAGGCGAACCGGGGGAACUGAAACAUCUAAGUACCCCGAGGAAAAGAAAUCAACCGAGAUUCCCCCAGUAGCGGCGAGCGAACGGGGAGCAGCCCAGAGCCUGAAUCAGUGUGUGUGUUAGUGGAAGCGUCUGGAAAGGCGUGCGAUACAGGGUGACAGCCCCGUACACAAAAAUGCACAUGCUGUGAGCUCGAUGAGUAGGGCGGGACACGUGGUAUCCUGUCUGAAUAUGGGGGGACCAUCCUCCAAGGCUAAAUACUCCUGACUGACCGAUAGUGAACCAGUACCGUGAGGGAAAGGCGAAAAGAACCCCGGCGAGGGGAGUGAAAAAGAACCUGAAACCGUGUACGUACAAGCAGUGGGAGCACNNNNNNNNNNGUGUGACUGCGUACCUUUUGUAUAAUGGGUCAGCGACUUAUAUUCUGUAGCAAGGUUAACCGAAUAGGGGAGCCGAAGGGAAACCGAGUCUUAACUGGGCGUUAAGUUGCAGGGUAUAGACCCGAAACCCGGUGAUCUAGCCAUGGGCAGGUUGAAGGUUGGGUAACACUAACUGGAGGACCGAACCGACUAAUGUUGAAAAAUUAGCGGAUGACUUGUGGCUGGGGGUGAAAGGCCAAUCAAACCGGGAGAUAGCUGGUUCUCCCCGAAAGCUAUUUAGGUAGCGCCUCGUGAAUUCAUCUCCGGGGGUAGAGCACUGUUUCGGCAAGGGGGUCAUCCCGACUUACCAACCCGAUGCAAACUGCGAAUACCGGAGAAUGUUAUCACGGGAGACACACGGCGGGUGCUAACGUCCGUCGUGAAGAGGGAAACAACCCAGACCGCCAGCUAAGGUCCCAAAGUCAUGGUUAAGUGGGAAACGAUGUGGGAAGGCCCAGACAGCCAGGAUGUUGGCUUAGAAGCAGCCAUCAUUUAAAGAAAGCGUAAUAGCUCACUGGUCGAGUCGGCCUGCGCGGAAGAUGUAACGGGGCUAAACCAUGCACCGAAGCUGCGGCAGCGACGCUUAUGCGUUGUUGGGUAGGGGAGCGUUCUGUAAGCCUGCGAAGGUGUGCUGUGAGGCAUGCUGGAGGUAUCAGAAGUGCGAAUGCUGACAUAAGUAACGAUAAAGCGGGUGAAAAGCCCGCUCGCCGGAAGACCAAGGGUUCCUGUCCAACGUUAAUCGGGGCAGGGUGAGUCGACCCCUAAGGCGAGGCCGAAAGGCGUAGUCGAUGGGAAACAGGUUAAUAUUCCUGUACUUGGUGUUACUGCGAAGGGGGGACGGAGAAGGCUAUGUUGGCCGGGCGACGGUUGUCCCGGUUUAAGCGUGUAGGCUGGUUUUCCAGGCAAAUCCGGAAAAUCAAGGCUGAGGCGUGAUGACGAGGCACUACGGUGCUGAAGCAACAAAUGCCCUGCUUCCAGGAAAAGCCUCUAAGCAUCAGGUAACAUCAAAUCGUACCCCAAACCGACACAGGUGGUCAGGUAGAGAAUACCAAGGCGCUUGAGAGAACUCGGGUGAAGGAACUAGGCAAAAUGGUGCCGUAACUUCGGGAGAAGGCACGCUGAUAUGUAGGUGAAGCGACUUGCUCGUGGAGCUGAAAUCAGUCGAAGAUACCAGCUGGCUGCAACUGUUUAUUAAAAACACAGCACUGUGCAAACACGAAAGUGGACGUAUACGGUGUGACGCCUGCCCGGUGCCGGAAGGUUAAUUGAUGGGGUCAGCGCAAGCGAAGCUCUUGAUCGAAGCCCCGGUAAACGGCGGCCGUAACUAUAACGGUCCUAAGGUAGCGAAAUUCCUUGUCGGGUAAGUUCCGACCUGCACGAAUGGCGUAAUGAUGGCCAGGCUGUCUCCACCCGAGACUCAGUGAAAUUGAACUCGCUGUGAAGAUGCAGUGUACCCGCGGCAAGACGGAAAGACCCCGUGAACCUUUACUAUAGCUUGACACUGAACAUUGAGCCUUGAUGUGUAGGAUAGGUGGGAGGCUUUGAAGUGUGGACGCCAGUCUGCAUGGAGCCGACCUUGAAAUACCACCCUUUAAUGUUUGAUGUUCUAACGUUGACCCGUAAUCCGGGUUGCGGACAGUGUCUGGUGGGUAGUUUGACUGGGGCGGUCUCCUCCUAAAGAGUAACGGAGGAGCACGAAGGUUGGCUAAUCCUGGUCGGACAUCAGGAGGUUAGUGCAAUGGCAUAAGCCAGCUUGACUGCGAGCGUGACGGCGCGAGCAGGUGCGAAAGCAGGUCAUAGUGAUCCGGUGGUUCUGAAUGGAAGGGCCAUCGCUCAACGGAUAAAAGGUACUCCGGGGAUAACAGGCUGAUACCGCCCAAGAGUUCAUAUCGACGGCGGUGUUUGGCACCUCGAUGUCGGCUCAUCACAUCCUGGGGCUGAAGUAGGUCCCAAGGGUAUGGCUGUUCGCCAUUUAAAGUGGUACGCGAGCUGGGUUUAGAACGUCGUGAGACAGUUCGGUCCCUAUCUGCCGUGGGCGCUGGAGAACUGAGGGGGGCUGCUCCUAGUACGAGAGGACCGGAGUGGACGCAUCACUGGUGUUCGGGUUGUCAUGCCAAUGGCACUGCCCGGUAGCUAAAUGCGGAAGAGAUAAGUGCUGAAAGCAUCUAAGCACGAAACUUGCCCCGAGAUGAGUUCUCCCUGACUCCUUGAGAGUCCUGAAGGAACGUUGAAGACGACGACGUUGAUAGGCCGGGUGUGUAAGCGCAGCGAUGCGUUGAGCUAACCGGUACUAAUGAACCGUGAGGCUUAACC